AUUGAACGCUGGCGGCAUGCCUUACACAUGCAAGUCGAACGGCAGCGCGGAGACGCUUGCCUCUUUGCCGGUGAGUGGCGGGCGGGUGAGAAUAGCAUCGGAACGUGCUAAGUAGUGGGGGAUAACCAAAAGAAAGUUUGGCUAAUACUGCGUAAGACCGAAGGAGGAAAGUAGGGGACCUAAAUAAGGCCUUAGGCUAUUUGAUCGGCCGAUGUCGGAUUAGCUAGUUGGUGGGGUAAUGGCUUACCAAGGCAAUGAUCCGUAGCUGGUCUGAGAGGACGAUCAGCCACACUGGGACUGAGACACGGCCCAGACUCCUACGGGAGGCAGCAGUGGGGAAUUUUGGACAAUGGGCGAAAGCCUGAUCCAGCCAUGCCGCGUGUAUGAAGAAGGCCUUAGGGUUGUAAAGUACUUUUGUUAGGGAAGAAAAGCUUGGUUUUAAUAAGGACGAGUGAUGACGGUACCUAAAGAAUAAGCACCGGCUAACUACGUG
RNAcentral lists this ribosomal RNA (493 nucleotides) under uncultured bacterium. RNAcentral describes it as "partial 16S ribosomal RNA". It matches the Rfam family "Bacterial small subunit ribosomal RNA", at positions 30 to 507 of the family's 1533-position model. The record is from RNAcentral.